This 406-nucleotide ribosomal RNA is filed under the name uncultured bacterium. RNAcentral's name for it is "partial 16S ribosomal RNA". It matches the Rfam family "Bacterial small subunit ribosomal RNA", at positions 30 to 526 of the family's 1533-position model. The record is from RNAcentral.
AUUGAACGCUGGCGGCAGGCCUAACACAUGCAAGUCGAACGAGUGGCGGACGGGUGAGUAAUGUCUGGGAAACUGCCCCAUGGAUGGGGAUAACUACUGGAAACGGUAGCUAAUACCGCAUACCAUCGGAUGUGCCCAGAUGGGAUUAGCUAGUAGGUGGGGUAACGGCGCACCUAGGCGACGAUCCCUAGCUGGUCUGAGAGGAUGACCAGCCACACUGGAACUGAGACACGGUCCAGACUCCGACGGGAGGCAGCAGUGGGGAAUAUUGGACAAUGGGCGCAAGUCUGAUGCAGCAAUGCCGCGUGUAUGAAGAAGGCCUUCGGGUUGUAAAGUACUUUCAGUGAGGAGGCGUUACUCGCAGAAGAAGCACCGGCUAACUCCGUGCCAGCAGCCGCGGUAAUUC